UACGAAGGGGGCUAGCGUUGCUCGGAAUUACUGGGCGUAAAGGGCGCGUAGGCGGCACUGUUAGUCAGGCGUGAAAGUCCUGGGCUCAACCUGGGAACUGCGCUUGAUACGGCAGAGCUAGAGGAUGGAAGAGGCUCGCGGAAUUCCCAGUGUAGAGGUGAAACUCGUAGAUAUUGUCAAGAACACCAAUUGCGAAGGCAGCUUACUAAAUUAUAACUGACGCUGAGGCACGAAAGUGUGGGUAUCAAACAGG
Molecule: ribosomal RNA, 253 nt
Filed under: uncultured bacterium
Lineage: Bacteria
Description: partial 16S ribosomal RNA
Rfam family: Bacterial small subunit ribosomal RNA
Source: RNAcentral